This is a non-coding RNA of Astyanax mexicanus (Mexican tetra), 445 nucleotides long. The record is from the annotation of a RefSeq genome assembly. Lineage: Eukaryota; Metazoa; Chordata; Actinopteri; Characiformes; Acestrorhamphidae.
GCUAAUACUAUAUAGUGUAUAGUGAGCUGAACUAAAAGGGACAGUAGUGAGGCAGUUCUCUUGUGAACUAUUAUAAGCUGAGUUCAGCAUGAAUGGAGCUCUCUUAUACACACUGUGGCUGCUUCUACUGAAAAGUUCUUACAGUGAAGCAGUUCUGAUCACACAGUGGCCUAAAGACAUCAUAAGUCCAUCAGGAGCAUCAGUGGACAUGCACUGUUACCAAAACGACACGGAUUAUGACUAUCUGUACUGGUACCGACAGCUCAAAGGAAAAGAACCAGCACUUAUAGGCAGAUUUGUAGCUGGCUCUGCCACGUAUGAGAAAGGUUUUGAGAGUGGCUUCAGCAUCUCCAGCACAGAAAAGAAGAAAUGGUCCCUGAAUGUAACUAUCAAGGAGGACAGCGAUGCCGUUUUCUUUUGUGCUGCUAGUUUCCACAGUGAAUGA